UUGAACCGAUUGUCUAGGCAUGCCGACAAAUUAUAAGAAUUAUGAAAACUACAAUAAAUAUACAAGCAAAUGGAUAAAUAAACAAGGUUUAGAUUUUGAAUGCAUUUUACUUACAAGAACAAAUCUAUAUGCUGAUGAAUUUUUGACAAUUAUCUUUAGGUGCUUAGUUUCUAUUGCACUUUGCGAGUUGUUCAUAUUAGAUGCUAUUUGAUGAUUUAUAUUAUUCAUGCAACCAAUUUUGUUCUUGUUCAUUCUAGAUGUAUUCUCUCAUCAUUCAUGCAAUCAAUUUUGUUCUUGUUUAUUGUAGAUGUAU
This 313-nucleotide long non-coding RNA is filed under the name Citrus sinensis (sweet orange). RNAcentral describes it as "long non-coding RNA (CSIN_LNC001695)". The record is from RNAcentral. Lineage: Eukaryota; Viridiplantae; Streptophyta; Magnoliopsida; Sapindales; Rutaceae.